UGAGUGAGAGAGAUUUAGGUAAGGUUCUCUGCCAGGAUCUAUGGGAUUUUCUCCGCACUACAUUUCAGUUUAUUUACAAGAUUGCCAUUGCUUUUAGCCAACUUUCUGGCUUCGUUUCUCCUUUCUCAAACCCUUGCAGCCACAACACCAUGUCUGGAAUAGCAUCGGCUCCUACUUCCUAAAACAAAAACCACACUUCAGUUCUGUAAUUCGAGAGCUUAUGUGAGAUGAAGGAGAGGAGCAGGGAGAUGGGCUCGAGUCGGGGAACGGCGGAAGAGAUCUUCAGGGAUUACAGUGGUCGGAGAACCGACGCCAUCCACGCUUUAACUAACGAGAGAGAGGUCAAGCAAGGUUUCGUCCAUUUCGGUCAACUUGGGUUACCCCCAACGUCCGGUAAGUUUUGGAGAAUGUUGUGUUCGAUGACCAUAAUCGAGAAGCUGAUUACUGAGAGAAAUCUGUUACUGGUCGUGAUUGAGGGAGCUUGAAAUGGCAAUUGGAUUUCAUUGUCGUUGACUUUCAGCUAUAUCGAUUAGUACUGAGUGAAGUACGAGUGGCAAUAGAGAAUAAUGUGAAAAGAUUUGUUACGAGUUAAAGGUGAAUCCAAGGAACCAGAGCAGGUCCAGCGACGGGGAAGGCCAUGAGGCAGCACAGAGGAAAAUCCUUCCCUCCUCUUCCAUACUCUUAAGUUCGCAACCUCUGCCACUUCCAGCUCUGGACUCGGAUCCGAAGCCCUCAUGUUUAAACAAGAAGCUUUGUAAUCAAAGGAUUUGUCGACCUAUUGUGGAAGGGGAUGGACAGAAGUCCCCGGCAGCAAUCUCUUUGUGAUCAUUGCUGGGAAAAUAUCGUGGUCAUUUUGAGUUCGGAUUCAGCUAGCAUGUGAUCUGUGCAAGCUAUCCAUAUAUGGAUCAAUGCUAUGGACUCUUCUCAACCUAUGGACCUCAAAUUUCAGUGCGUCUUCCAUCAUUUAUCCUACCUCACUAUUAGUCUCAACCUCGCCCGGGGGUGUUGUAGGCCGAUUUGAUGCUACGAGGCACUUUGUUUAGGGCUAUCUGAGGGAGAGAGGUGUUGGGUGUCUGAGACAAGGGGUUUCAGGUUAGGGAACCAAAACGUUCAAUUUCGUCAUGUUCAUUGUACAAUGUCUUCAUGUCAGCUCAGUUGAAUGUAUAUAAAAACAAAGUUGCAUAUCUUACCGACCUCAUUCACUCAUCUAUCCCUCACUUCAUUUAUGAUUGUGUUGAAUUUAUUCAGGUAAAAUGUAUCUUAUUCAUGCAGUUCAAGGUGAUGCAUUCAAGUCCAGCAGCAACGCGCAGGAACAUUUUCUAGUUUGCCCUAUUUUAACAUAGAAUAUAUAGUGUUAUUGUCAAUCGCUGCCUUGGUUUUGGCCUCAUGCGAUAAUAUCUACUUGAAGCUUAAAAGAAAACAUAAAAACGCAGGCCAAAAGGUGAGCAAGUUUUCCAUGAUCAUACAGAGAAGAGCUGGCCGAUACUUCCGCGACGGUGAGGCCAAUUUUAACACCUAAGUGAAGGAUGAAAAAGCAAAGACUUAUCAGCCAGAGAUCCCAUGAAAGAGGCUUCAAGAAAAUCCAUGUAUUUUUUAUCAUGUUAUUUAUUGGGAAGAAGUUUAUAUGUAAUUUUGGGAUGAAAAUUCACAAUCAAUUAACCAUUUGAAGCAAUUUCUUUG
Non-coding RNA from Malus domestica (apple), 1680 nucleotides. NCBI's taxonomy places the organism in Eukaryota, Viridiplantae, Streptophyta, Magnoliopsida, Rosales, Rosaceae. The record is from RefSeq and is a predicted model, not a curated record.